AUGAAUGUCAUAAGUUGGAAUUGCCGGGGAGGGGGGAAUACUCGGACAGUUUGUGAGCUGGCGACAAUCUCAUAGUCGCAUUCCCCCAACAUGGUUUUUUUGUGUGAGACAAGGCAAAAGGCAGAUAAGAUGAGGAGGAUCCGUGGUCGGAUUGUGCUGAAGGGUUUCAUGGGAGUUGAUAGUAAUGGAAUGAGUGGUGGGCUAGCUUUGUUCUGGCAUGAGGCGUACGAAGUGGAAAUACUGGACAAAGAGGAACGAUAUAUUGACGCCCUUGUGCGUGUGGCAGCGGGGGCAACCCAAUGGAGGAUAACGUGUGUGUAUGGUGAACCUAGAGUUGGGAACCGGCAUCUUAUGUGGGACACUACAGCGUUUGAAGAACAUAAAUGA
Molecule: ribosomal RNA, 387 nt
Filed under: Triticum aestivum (bread wheat)
Lineage: Eukaryota; Viridiplantae; Streptophyta; Magnoliopsida; Poales; Poaceae
Description: partial small subunit ribosomal RNA
Source: RNAcentral